The sequence is a transfer RNA, 86 nucleotides long. It matches the Rfam family "tRNA". From Rfam's summary of the family: Transfer RNA (tRNA) molecules are approximately 80 nucleotides in length. Their secondary structure includes four short double-helical elements and three loops (D, anti-codon, and T loops). The record is from Rfam.
UCUUCCGUAGUAUAGUGGUCAGUAUGUGAGCUUGUCACCUCGUGACAUCCACGCUCGAGACCCGGGUUCAAUUCCCGGCGGGAGAG